This 495-nucleotide ribosomal RNA is filed under the name uncultured bacterium. RNAcentral's name for it is "partial 16S ribosomal RNA". It matches the Rfam family "Bacterial small subunit ribosomal RNA", at positions 28 to 507 of the family's 1533-position model. The record is from RNAcentral.
GAUGAACGCUGGCGGCGUGCCUAAUACAUGCAAGUAGAACGCUGAAGGAGGAGCUUGCUCUUCUGGAUGAGUUGCGAACGGGUGAGUAACGCGUAGGUAACCUGCAUGGUAGCGGGGGAUAACUAUUGGAAACAAUAGCUAAUACCGCAUGACAACAGUUAUUGCAUGAUAACUGUUUAAAAGGGGCAACUGCUCCACUACCAGAUGGACCUGCGUUGUAUUAGCUAGUUGGUGAGGUAACGGCUCACCAAGGCGACGAUACAUAGCCGACCUGAGAGGGUGAUCGGCCACACUGGGACUGGGACACGGCCCAGACUCCUUCGGGAGGCAGCAGUAGGGAAUCUUCGGCAAUGGACGGAAGUCUGACCGGGCAACGCCGCGUGAGUGAAGAAGGUUUUCGGAUCGUAAAGCUCUGUUGUAAGAGAAGAACGAGUGUGAGAGUGGAAAGUUCACACUGUGACGGUAUCUUACCAGAAAGAGACGGCUAACUACGUG